GUAGUCCACGCCGUAAACGAUGGGUACUAGGCGCUGGGGGGAGCGACCCCUCCGGUGCCGUCGCUAACGCAGUAAGUACCCCGCCUGGGGAGUACGGCCGCAAGGCUGAAACUCAAAGGAAUUGACGGGGGCCCGCACAAGCGGUGGAGCAUGUGGUUCAAUUCGAAGCAACGCGAAGAACCUUACCUGGGCUUGACAUGCACGGGAAAGCCGGUGGAAACAUCGGCCCCUCUUCGGAGUCCGUGCACAGGUGCUGCAUGGCUGUCGUCAGCUCGUGUCGCGAGAUGUUGGGUUAAGUCCCGCAACGAGCGCAACCCUUGUCCCUAGUUACCAGCGGGUUAAGCCGGGCACUCUAGGGAGACUGCCGGUGUCAAACCGGAGGAAGGUGGGGACGACGUCAAGUCAUCAUGGCCCUUACGUCCAGGGCGACACACGUGCUACAAUGGCCGGUACAGAGCGUCGCCAACUCGCAAGAGUGCGCCAAUCGCCAAAAGCCGGUCUAAGUUCGGAUUGUGGUCUGCAACUCGACCACAUGAAGCUGGAAUCGCUAGUAAUCGUGGAUCAGCCACGCCACGGUGAAUACGUUCCCGGGCCUUGUACACACCGCCCGUCACGCCAUGGAAGCUGGGGGGACCUGAAGUCGGUGGGCUAACCGCAAGGAGGCAGCCGCCAAAGGUCAAUUCAGUGACUGGGGCG
This 696-nucleotide ribosomal RNA is filed under the name uncultured bacterium. Its description in RNAcentral is "bacterial SSU rRNA". It matches the Rfam family "Bacterial small subunit ribosomal RNA", at positions 790 to 1482 of the family's 1533-position model. The record is from RNAcentral.